UCAAACUAGUUAAGAAGGUAGCAGUAUGUCUCAUAAAGGGUUCUGGACAUUGUCUGAUUUCUGCCAUAAGCAAAAUACUGACAAGUCCUGCUUUGUUUUGCUGCUUUUUCAGGUGGCAAAAAGCUAGACAUACAUUCAUUAUAUUGUAAAAUCACAACCUUCGAGAUCUUGCUGAAUCUGCCCUACAGCUAUUUAUCACAUGAUUGCAGGGAAUGAAAAUAACAUUUUUCCUUCUACUAGGAAUAUGUUGCUAACCUUGAGGCAAGAUAGUGCAUAAUUUUAUGUGUGCCUAGUCUUGCUGUUAUAUAUAGACUAUUUUGAGAUGAAUCAGUGUUAUCAUUUCCCAGAAUUUAGCACCAGUGUUUUAGCAGAGCCAAGGAGAUUUCAUAUACUUAGGCUCUUGGCUGCGACAGUGACCAGGGAUCCCAAGUCUGAGUCACAUUUACAUUAAUGCCAUUUUAUAGCGAUGGAAAAAGGCCAAGAAAAUGCUAAUAUCAUUUACUCCCAAGUUAAGGGAUUUUUUUGUUGAGGUUAGAGCUGCAUGUAGUAAUGUCUGUGUAAAAGCUAUCUGAGCCCAAUUCUGAUUUCACAUCCAUUAAUUUUAUAUUUGUGAAAUUACAGCUAUUUCACUGAUGUUUUUGCUUGUAAUCAAGAGUUUGAUCUGUCUCCUCAUGUCUGUGCAAUAAUCCCUCUUUCUUCCUCCCACAACCAACAGUCUGCAGGAGACUCAGAAAUCUCUAAGACUCUUUUAUUCUUUCCCGUGGCACCCAUCAUUCUCUUGUGGCUUCUUGAGUAAUCUCUGGUUUUUAAUAUGAAGCAUUAAUUCACUUUAAAUAUAGCAAGAAUUAGGAAAACUGGGGCUCAGUCCCUCUCCACAAUUACAAGUUUAACCAUCGAGUUGCCUGUCAGAUGCUUUUAGAAGCGUAGCUCUACUAUAGCUGUGUACCUAAUAUGUAGCUCUGACUUCUUGGUUUAGUUUGAUCGUAGGGUGACCUGCAGUGAGCAGUUUUAAGCCCAUUGAAACAGUUUUUGAUACUACAUGGACACUUUCUGUCAUGGCCCACUUUUGAGCUACUUAUGUGUUUAGACAGCAUUUUUUAGGUAUUGUCUAAAGUUAAAUAUUUCCAGAAUGCAGUUUCAAUGUAAAAUUUUUCAAUGUAAAUUGAGUUUCAGUUUUUAAUAUUUGUGAUACUUUAACAUUUUAAGAACAGCAGGAAAGCAUUAAAUUUAUAGGAAAAAAAAUUGAGGGUGACAGACUACAUCCAUUUAAUAGGAACUUGUACAGUAAUGAGAUAGAUGUCAUUAUUUUCUAAGCACAAGGGACAAAGAAUCACAUUUUUAGUCCAUGCAUCUGUGGUAUUUUAAGGUAGUUUAACACAACUGUGAGAUGCAUUAUACUCAAUCCCAGCCUACUGGAGCUUCAGAUUAUGCUGUUGCAACUUGCUGUGUGAAUUUUCUUUAGGGGAUCUCUAGCUGAUUAAAGCUUAAUAAAAAAAAAAAAAAAAACACAACAAAAAACAUCAGAAAGGAAGAAGUUUGCUUUUACUCUUUUCUGGAUUGGGUUAUCUGUCCCAAAAUAUAGGUAUGAAAGCAGCAGUCCACUUUUGCAGACUUAGUUGAGGCCAAAAUAUUGUGAUAAAUUCCGCAGAACAUACUCGGGCACAAUGCCCAUUUGUUUUAUUGAGAAUUUUGCCUGAUAAAGACCUAUUUCCCCUUAUCUCUGAGUUUCUUGGACAAACUGUGUUGACUCUGAUCCAGUAAAGUAGAGCAAGCUUCUUAAUCUGGCACAUUAAAUAAAAGCUCAGCUGGGAAAGGAAUGCAGUAUUUUGUCUUUGCAUUUCAAUUGAGUUGAAACUUCUUAUUUUAAGCUUAGGCUGUGAGAAUCAUCUCCAAGCAAUGUAACAUCAUUUGCAAAGUCAGGUGAUAGGUGCGUGGACUGGAUGCAAGUGGAUGAUGGGACACAUCUUUACGAUCAAUAGAAACGAAAAUAAAUAAAUGCAAAGUUCAAGCUUCCUUAUUCAGUUUUUUCAAGCAACUCGGUUCUGACUUGCAGCACCCCUGCUGUUUCAAGUCGUGGACGUUUCUUUUAACACAGGCAGCGUAUUAUGCUAAUCUGCAUGCUGGGCAAAAGCCCAGUUGAGAGUAACUGAAAGUCUAAAAGAAGUUUCACUUUUGACCACAUCCCUGAUUUGAACCGAGAUUGCUAAUGUAGAAAGGCUUGCUACCUCUAGAGGUGUGGAGAGGGUCUUGCACCUCUUCCUUAAAACUCUGGUUUCCUUUUUUCCUCUCAUUUUGUUUCCUUUUCUCUGGGGAAAUUACUCCUAUUUUUUUCCAGUGUAAUAACCAAAAGAGUUGCACUUUGUAUUUCUAAAACAAACCAGCAAUUUUUUUCCACAUGUACUGAGACUUCAAUCUCUGCCAAAAAUCUGAAAAGAAAUCACCAACUGUUCUGUAACUCUUUAAGCAAUUACCAUUGAAUACACACACUAUGGUUCAAAAUGCAAUAAAUACAUAAAACUUCAGCAAGGAAAAUCUAGCACAGAUCAUAAACAAGUAACUGAUGCAAGUACUAACAUAUUUUUUGAUGUUAAUAAAUAUAAAUUAUGAAAUAUAAGUACAUUGUCAGUGAUCCCAUGAAUGAUUUAGUGUAUUGUCUUACCACAUGGUGAAUGAGGUGAGGCUGCAUGUACACUAGGUGCUUGUAACCUAAUUUAUCUCCCAGGAAUACUGAAAAUACUCAGUUUAAUAUACAGAUGUAUUUGUUAAGAAGCUUACCAAAACAAUAUGGUGGGCUUAGACUAAGAUCAUACCAGAAGGUCCAUCCUUCAGUUCUCUGAAUCAUAAGAAGAAACAGAUUGUGUCAAAUGGAAAGUGAGAAAUGAAGUAAUCUAACCAAUCUGCACUUUGGCAGAGUUGUUGUAGGCUGGCUGAGGUUUCUUGCCUAUUCCCAGUUAAUGUAGGUAUUUGACACGAUGCUGAAGAGCUGACCAUUUUAAUUGUGAAUAUGGUUUCCUGGAAAGCAAAGUCUUGAUAGUCUCAGGGGUGUUUUUAUCAGUGACCUAGUCACACAGUGCUCCUCAGGGUCAACCAUCAGGGUGAACCUACUUGAACUCUUGUUUGGGAACUGCAGUAUUUAAGAGAGCCCAGAAAAAAAUAGAUACUUGCUUCCUUCACAGUUUUUAUUGCUUUUUCUGAAGCCUUCUGUCCAUGAUUCCUGUUGUUCUUUGAAUUCCGUGCAGGUUUUUUUAUGGGGCUUGGGAACUGUCACUUUUUAGACAUCUACUGAUGAAAGUUUUGUGACUCCUGCUCUUUUUUGCUGAGGCUGCAUACUUAGUUUUUCCAUCUCUUUAAGGUGCUUUGGCUUCUCAUCCUAUUGCCUAACCAAAGGUAAUAAGAGUAUUCUUACCACUUCCUCUCUCUUGCUCAGACAGCAGACUUAAUGUUUUUCACCUUUAUUUCACAGGAGAAUGAGCAAGUAUUCCCAUAAAGUAUCCAUUAUUUGUUAGGAAGUGAAUCAUACGUCUGUUGCAUGUUACUGGCUUGUGCUGUUGUAGGAGCAGUUAGUAUUAACUAUGUAGGCUUAAUUAGCAUAUUUGGAAUCUUAAACUAUAAAGCUUUCCUAUUUCCUAAAACAAUCCUUUUAAUUCUGUAUAAAUAAGAGCUAUUUCAAACAAAACAGGCAAAAUAUGAAAAUAUAAAAAAAAAAUAUCCCAUAUAUAUAUACAUAUGGGAUAUAAUGUUGCAUCACUCCUAAAGACAGUAAUUUUUAAAAUUUGUUUAUAUAAUUUAGAUAAAUUUUGAAGUGUUUUACAAUAGAGAAAUAUCAUUAUUGCUAUUUCAGUGGAGGGCAAAGUGAGAUACAUACAAACAACAUCUUAAAGGUGACACUUCUUUUCAAAGCCAAAAAAAAAUCUGGAUUAAAGACUAUGUACAUUAGAUGCAGUGACCCUUAUGCAGUGACCCUUAUGCAGAAUAAUUCUUGAAUUAGAUAUAAAAUGUUGAUGUUUUCAGUUUUAGAAAGCUGAGAAUGCCAGCACAACAUCAACAGUUAUUUGCAUAGUAUUGUCAGGGACAACUGUUCUGGAGACAAUUCAGUGAAUCAGAGCUGUUUGAUUAAUCAAAUCAAGUCUCUGUUGUAGCAAUGCAAAGAGGUUAUGUCUGCUGGCAAUCUGAUUUGAAAUCAAAUGUUUAUGGAUUAAUGAACACAAGACAAUUGCUUCUAAGCCUCUUUUCAAGCAAAAUCUUAGGUCUUUAGAAAUGUGGAUAAGUAGGGAAUGAUUAGCCGGGUCUGACAGCACAAGUGAGAAUUUAUCCCCUCAAACAUACACUCUUUACAAUUAAAGAAAAUCCAAGCAAUUAAAAGCAGCCAAAAUAAAGCAAAGAACAAAAUUUACAAGUUGUGUUUGUUAUUUUAUUUGCAUACGCUAAUGUAAGCAAAUUAUAAUCUCAGUUACAUUAUGUUCUAAUUGAAUGAUAAACUUAACAGAGCUUUGUCAUUUCCUAUCAACUGAGAAUCUAUCUCACAACCAGGUUUUUAAAAAGCAGUCCAGGCCUCAUGUUCAAAUGACCCUUGCACUUUAAUGUAUUGAAAAAAAAAUCAUUCUUUCCUUCUUAGCAGUUGUUGUUCAUUACAUUGUCUUUAAAAACUGUGAAUAAUGUGCAUAUUAUAAAGGGAAAUGUGUAAUCCAUUUGAGCAUAAUAGAAAGUUCUUCUGCUUUUAUAGGAAUUGACUCAGAAAUAAUUCAGGUACAAUUUUGUGUUCCCUUUGGUCUCUUUCUUCUCCAAGAAGGCGCUCUGCUUUGGUGUGAUACUAAAUUAGUUAUAUCUAAAUGCCACCUUCAUUUCUGCCCCCACUGAGCUUAACAGUUAAUUUUCCAGGCUAGAAUAAAGAAAUCCUUGCUUUCAUUUUUUAUCCCAUCCCCAUGGUGCAGUAGACCAAUAAGAAGCAUAUAGUUCUUACCGAGUUAAGAGAAUAGGAGCCCUUCUCUGAAGAAAAUUGGCUGGUUUUCACUCACUACAUAAAAAAUCAUCAAUUAAAAAUGGAAACAGCUGGAAAUGAACAUCUUCCCCUUGUCAAAGGUGAAUAUUAAACUGCUCUUUGAUUUGACUUUCCCUUUAUUUGUUUUAAGAUGUUCGUUGUUAUUUUACAAUGACUCAUUUGGUAAGGUAACAGUGAUAGCGUUACCUGCUUGGCCUUCUUUGGUGGAAACUGAUUAUGCUUAGCAUUUGAUUUACAAUUAGCUGCACUGGCUAUUCUGCACAAGAUAACUGAAUCUUAAAUUCAUAGGGGGAUGAAAUUUUUAUCAGAACAGUUUAGAGUUAGCAAAAGACUUCCUUUAAAAUAUGUGGGAAUUUUUCAAUAGACACUAAGUGCUUUUGGAAAGCCUUCUCUUUGGCCUCAUGUUAGACUCAUGAAGAUCACAGAGCUAAAUCCAAAGGGUGUUGUCUGCUGCUUCACCUAAAAAGUCAUCUGCUUUGGAGAUUAGAACGCUUUGAAUGGAAACAUUAGCAAUGGCAGUAGUCAAUCUGAAAAAGAAAUGAGCAAGACGUCAGCCACACUGUCUUAAAACUCUAACAAGUAGGUGCUGUUUUGUGCUAAGAGAAAUUCUCCAUGAACUGGCUAUUUUUAUCAAGAUUCAUACUACACAUCAUCUCAAAGUUGUUAUUGUUUUAGUGUGUAAUAGUGACUGCACCUCACAUUUUUUAACUCCUUUCUUUAGUUCUAUUAAUAUUAUUUUUUUUUUAGUUUUAGUUAGCUUAGUUAGGCAUAAAAAUAAAUCAAGCAAGGAGAGUAUGAUAUCACUUAUCGUGUCACCUUGUCACUACGCAUGUGCAUGUGUAGAUAUGUGUACAUACAUGCAUGUGCAUGUAUGUACAGGAUUAUAUAUACUAAUUAGUAUACUGAGGAUUCUGCCUUAAAGGAAAGACACAAUGCUGACCCAAAGUACUUUAUUUAUGUUGCCUAAAGAACAUGCACUGUUACAUAGUUAAAGAGUCAUAGGAAGGAAGUUCAAAAUAAUUUUCAACACCUGCAGAAAGACCAACACUGCUUCUCUUGUGACUAACCCAAAAUUGCUUUACGUUUUCAAGUUGAGAAGUGAACCAAGUCCUCAGGUAGUGCUGGACAAUCUCUUUGUUUAUGAAAACAGCUGAGGAUCUGAUUUAAUGACAUUUGAAGAUUCAUUUUACAGAGUAAAAUCAGAUGCCAGACACUCCAAUGAACUGUCUGAAAAUCUAGUGCAAUUGCAGUCCUAAUCAAUGUGAAGUUUAUCCCAGGCACCUAUGGCAUACAUAUAUCAGAGGUGAAUAUAUGCUGUAGAGAAGCCUUUAGACAAAAGCACUGACAGAAGGCAGAAGGGAUGAACAGUUUGUAACUGCCAGGCUCCUUAGCAGGCAGUUCCCUGACUGUAUCCCUGCUGCUUACAGCGUAAAUGAGAAUUAAAACAGCUAGGGAUGUCAUUAAGACGUUAGCUAGCAUGUGAAGGGAAAGAGUUUCUAACUGGAAGAGAUCAUGAGGUACCUCCAUAUGAGUACUUCGUACUCCAUUUGGGUUUACUUGCAUUUGAGUAUUUGUUUAUUGAUUUGGAAUUCUUCAGGAUUGGAACCACGUGAAUCCUUCCUCCUGUAGAAGCCGAGCAGAUAUUUUCUUCCAACUUUCAGUCAGGGAAACACAGUGCUGGUUUGGAGAGCGAGCUGUCAGAUACCACGAUUUCCACGUGUAGAGGUGUAGUACCAUUGCAUUGUGCUAGAAGAUAAACUCCUUGUCAGGAGCAUGGCUCAUGCGGUCGGUCAUGGCAUGGUUGGGUACUUCCUAUACUGAUGAGAUGGCCUGUCCUGAACAUCUCCGUAAGCAAAAUCCAUGUCUAAAUGUAGUUAGGGCUAAUGUAAGGAGCAGUGCAGACUGGUGUGACUUGUUUUGAAGAACACGGUAUCUGCUACUACUGGUAUAACUUCAAGAGAGCUGCUAGGGUCAGAAUUUGACAGCCAAACCUUCUAUUCCAGUCAGAUUUCUCUAUCAGAUAUUGAAUGUAUAUUGUUGCUCAGCAUGCAUUAAGAUCUCUUAAACUAAUUGCAUUUGAGCCUUUUAUUUUCAUAUAGGAAAUUGCAUUUUGCUAAGUGUUUUACUGUAAGAGUAUCCUGCUGUUUUAAAGAGUGUUGCAAGGACACAUGGCUGGUAUUACUGGCGUUUCUGAUUAUAUUUAGUAUCAUAAAUGUUGAAGUUUGACAGUGAAAUCUCAAGUAUUUUUUAAACUAGUCCUAGAAAAUAAUUCCAGUUUGCCUUCGGUAAAUAAUGUGUUAAGUUUGGGUUAGGCUUCAGUAGUCACAUCAACCUUAAAUAUGAUUCAUCUGCACAGAUUUUUUCCACGUUAUGCUCUGUGUACAUCAAAAGAAACAAAACUAGCUCAGUGAUCUGGAGGUAGUAUGAACUACACCCAUGGGUGAGUAGAAUUGAUUCAUGCUACAGUAUGCUGAGAAACCUAAGUGGUUUGUGGUGAGCAUGUAGAUCAUGUAGUCAUGUAACCGCACUCAUGAAUGCUAUUCUAGCAGAAAGGAUGAGAUCUUGCUGGACUUCUGAAGGAUGAGAGAGUAGUGAACAUACAACACUUCCAAAAGACAAGUCAGCUCUUAGAAAUAAAAUGUUUCAACAUGAGAUAACUAAGAAGAUGUUUAUUUUAAGUUUUCCUCUAUGUUGUGGUUGACUGUGAAGCUUUUUAUUAUUUUUUGUGAUUUAUUUGCUUAUUUAUUUCCUUAUUUAUUUUCUUUCAGAAUUAAAAUCUAAAUAUUUAUUCAGGUUUUUUGGUUUUUUUGCGUUGUUUUUUUUUAAAUUAAAGAUUGCGGUUCGAUAUGUCACUGAAUACAGACCCUAGUACAACUAAUAAGCAAACGGCUUCACUAGACUAUCAGUCACAAAUUCUGGCUAGAAGCUUUUAGCUGUUACUUUUUCAUGUCAGUAGUAUUAAAAACCAGGGUUUACAGGUUUAAAUUAAUCAAGCUAAUGAAAGGUUGGGUUUCUGUUUGCUUGUUUGUUUUCCUGAAAAAUAGAUGAAUUUGACUUCUGUGUAUAGGGGAAAAAAAGAUACACAUACUUGAUUUGGGAUAGAAACCCUGUGACUUUGUGCAUGUGCGUGUGUAUGAGAAAAAGAGGAGAUCCAGACAGAUUACUUCAGCAGUGUAAAAAUGCUGAAUUAAAAAAAGAAAUGCUGGUGUUUAGAGAGGCUCGUAUUUAACGAGAGCAGUCCUGGAAAGGAAUACUCCCAGUAAUCUCUCUUUAACAGACUCAAGUGGAAGAAAGCCAAGUUGUUCAGUUGCUCAAUAGGUUCCAAUCAUGUGGGAGAGUUCCCAGUUGGGAGCUGAAAACUGAAAACCUGACACGCAUAAGUGAAUGAAGCUACCCUAUGUGAUGUGUUGAUUUAAGGUUUUUUUCCACCUCCUUAAAAAUACAGCUGGGCUUCUGCCUUUGUCUGAGUACUGAAGAGGCGAUACUUUGUGAGACACAAAAUUAGUUUAAAAUUGACAUUUUGGAUGUUGGUGAUAAUUUAUCCUGACGUUAUGCCUAUUGGUUGUGAUUGUGACAAGCAGGCUCGAUCCAAGCGGGCACUGUAAGAGCCAAAUUUAAUAGAUGACCAUUGUAAUUUUCUGCCUUGCGGACAGCAGAGACUUUCCAGCCUUCCUUCACCACAACAAUCAGGGAUUACUAAGUAACAAGUCCACAGGACUGGGGGAGGAUUGAAAGGAUUAAUGGAGUAUGACAAAAUUGCACCUGAGGGGGAAAAUCUGUAGCAGUUUUUUGUAUGGUGAUGUGGUAGAUCAGGCAAAUUGGCAAUUGCUACUGAUCUUUACACAUGCAUGUCUUCAAAUAAAGUGUGUGAAAGUCAAGCAAAUGCAACUAUGUGGCUAAGGCUGUCAUAAACAUUUAUGUCAUCAGCUGCAUAAAUCACUUAAUACUAUCGUUUUAAGUAUUUCGAUGAUCAACUAUGUUAAGCAUCAGUGGAUUGUAGGCACUGUACUAAAUCAUUUUUUUACUCUGCUAUAACCUCUUAUCCUGCUAAACUAAAUCCUAAAAAAGAUUAAAAAUGUAGGGUUAGUCCAACCCUUCUCUUCAAAGAUAAUUAAGGAAUACAGUUCCUGUUUGGGAGUAGUGUUCCAGCUUUAGAACUUAAAUAUAUAUUUUUAUGUAUGUAUAUAUAAAUUGGUUUGCAGUCUGCAUUCAUGUGCUGACCUGAUGUUAAAUAAACACUCUCUAUCCCUUUGACAAAUACUCAUUUCAAAACAACAAUAGCAGUCUUAGUCCCAAGUUCUUAUGGGAUAUUAAUGUAUUUUUAAUAAACUGUUUACCACUGUGAAACAUCAGAAGUUUGUUAACAGAUACUUGGUUUAUUUUCACACUGGUUUAAACCAAGAAUCCCACUACUGAUGGCAGUGGAAUUGCAUGAAAUAUAGAAAAAAAGCGAGAAGCAAGAACAGAGCUAUUCAGCUUUAUUUUUAAAACUCUUAACUUCUCUUUGUAAAGUAACUUAUUUAUUAAACGUUGUUUAUUACCGCUCUAAGAAAAAUCUGAGCUUGGGAGUAUUGUUUGACUUAAAUGGAAGCUUUAGAUUUGUGUUGUGUUCAUGAUAACUGAACUUAGCCUUUAGAGCACGAUACUUUUCCUUUCUUCCCCCUUUGAUAUAACCACUUAGUCAUUAGGGAAGAUAGCAGCUGGUGCAAACAGUAAAACUUUUAUCUCUGUAGAUCUACACAAGAGAGGGAGAAUUACAGAAGAAAAAUCACAAACACGUUUAUAAGUUGCUGUCUGAGGUCAUCUCUCAUGUAUUGUGAAUUGUUUAAGGAAACACUUCUUCGGCAGCGUUGACUGAAGGUCAUGUUGUUAUUUAGACUUUUUACUAGUGGAACAGCAAACGAUUCAUUAAUUCCAUUAGCCAUCCUUUCUGCACACUGGGAAAAGCAAAUGUAAUUGUCAACUAUUCCUACUGUAUACUUAAGCUGUCAAGGAUCCUGGAAGGCUUCAGUUAUCCUCUUUGCAGAUAUCAAAGGAAGGGGUGGGCUAUUUUGUGUUUUUAAAACAGAAAUAGGGAAAAAAUGUGCCACUUAAUGUAAGCGAAAAGAUUUCUUUUUAACCUAAAGUGACACUCUAGUACAGAAACACUGGGCAGUUUUCUGACUGGUAAAGCUUCUGGUUAUUAUUUUUUUAAAAAAAGAAAUCUUAAAGUACAGCCUGUCAGCAUGCCAUUAGUGUUGUCUCUAAGCCUGUCUUGUCUCCAGGAGCCAUGCCAGGGACUUCUCAUUUCCCUUCCCUUUGGGUUCCCAAGGCAAUUCAUAGGUCUCACCCUGUGUGCUGCUGCGCGUGGUGGACAGGCGAGUGUAGCAUGACUGAAGUUGGUGGGCAUGCUGCACUCUUCUUGCAUGGAUAUUAGGCAAAAUCGGGGCACAUAUUUUUAUAGCUUUUCACCAUGAAGCGUCUGGUGGGUUAGUGGACAGCGAAAGUGAAAAACAUCAUGUGAAUCUGCAAAAUUAUUUGCAGUUUUCCUGCUGUUAAUGGGGAUGACAGCUGAAAGCCUAGUCUACUACAUUUAGCCUGAAAAAGCAAAAAGAGGUUCCAGGCUUAGCAGCCCAGCCAACAGUGGGUUACAUCUGAACUGGGGUGUCUGCCCUCUAAGUGAUCACUGCUAUUAGGUAGUGUUUUGCAGAGAGUAAGUCAACUUUUUCUCCAUAGAAGAGAGUUAUAUUGAAAAGACAGUGAGGCUCAUUUUAACUACAGCGAAGUAGUCCAGGAAAAGUAGGUAAGCAAAUCCACAAAGGGUAGAUUUUUGUCCACCCUACCCAUGUUCUUAAAAGAGAUAGUGUGCUCUCUUCUGCAGAUCUUAAUGUCCUAGACAUCCUUGGUCACGGUUAAAAAUCCACCGUGGGUUACUACACGUUUCAACAUAUUCCUUUUAUUUUGGCAAUAAUGAAUGCAAAGCUGUCUUGUCCUUUGCAAUGCUUUGAGCUGUUCAGAUAACACGUUGCAGAGCGGUUGGACACAAAUCACAUAACCCUACUGUGCUCUGUUUGAAAGGAAAGUACAACUUUUAAUUCAUUAUUGGCUAACUAAUUUUCUGGUAUGCUUUUCCCACAGUUUUGAGUGACAGUCCCACACCCCCAGUACAUGGUUUGUUUGAUUGUGGUGCAGAGAACUUGACUUUCUCUUUAAAGAUGUAAUUUUACAUCCUGAUUGUAAAAUAAUUAAUAAUUUGGUGCUCACUCUUCGAUCCUGAAAAAGGAAACACGUUUUGCAUACUUCUCAAGACAUAACUUUGUCACUGUGUGAUGAUCUUUCUUUAAAACAUUAAAAACUGUGGAAAAGGAGGUCCAUCUGUUAGGGAAAGUUUCGCUCUGUGUGUGAUAUAGUGUAAUGAGUAAUCAUAAAUGUAAAACACUUGAUGUGACGAUUUCCUAUAUAAUGAUUAUGCAGUAGUUAGUAGCCACAGUAUACUAUAUUACUCCUGUUAUGUAUUUUGGAGGUGGACACUAUGGAAUCAUAGUAUGGUUUAACUUGUAUAAGUAGUAUCAGUCCAUCUGAGGGAUACUCCUCCCCCAGGUUGAGAAUUAUGAAUUUACAGUGUUGAUUUUUUGAAUCUUAUGAGCCGCUACAGAGUGGAAAAUAUUUAAGGAUAGCAGUGUAUGUACUUCUAUAUGUUACUGAGUGUUAAAAUAAGCAAUCAAAUGAUUGUUAAAUAAACUAAUAUAUAUAUAAUGCAUUAUAUUUAUGCAAAGAAUAGCUGCAAAAAUCAGGCAAAGUAUUUCACUUUUAUUGUAGUAAUAGGCACCAUUGCUAUGUAUUUAUCUAUGCAUAGUUUAGGAGAGAAGAAGAUGCUGUCAAUGAUUCUGUAAUAUUUUCUUCAUUGUAGUGGCCAUUGAGUUGAAUAAGAAUUCACUGAUAUGUAUAGUAAUGAAUCUUUAAAACUAUCAUUUCUAAUCAGUGUUGAACAGUGCAAACAAACAGGUGUCCUUUAAAAAAUGGACCUUUGUACACUUUGAGUAAAGAACUACCUUUAAAGGAUAUAAAGUAGUUGUACAUUCAAAAUGUAUUAAAUUCCAUUUUUCCUUUGCUAUAUUUUGUAAAACAUUUUCAUUGUAAACAGUAUGCCUCUCACACAUGUCAAAUCAAAACUCUUUAUUUUACAAAUAUAUACCUAAUGUAAUUGGAAGCUUAUUGCACUCUCAUGCAAUGUAUAUAUUGUGACUUCAAAAAGUCUGUACUGAACUUUGCUUAAACUACUAGUAUGUGGAUUUCUUUCAAAUUUAUUUUUAAUUAAUGAUAUUAAGGAUAAGAUCCUUUCUAAAUGUACUUUAAAGUUCACAAUAAAGUUUCAGAAGUUGUUUUGUACAA
Long non-coding RNA from Calidris pugnax (ruff), 12370 nucleotides. RefSeq lists it as uncharacterized. Lineage: Eukaryota; Metazoa; Chordata; Aves; Charadriiformes; Scolopacidae. The transcript is spliced from 2 exons. The record is from RefSeq and is a predicted model, not a curated record.